GGAGGGAAUAUUGGUCAAUGGGACGAGAGUCUGAACCAGCCAAGUAGCGUGAAGGAUGACUGCCCUAUGGGUUGUAAACUUCUUUUAUAUGGGAAUAAAGUUUUCCACGUGUGGAAUUUUGUAUGUACCAUAUGAAUAAGGAUCGGCUAACUCC
This 154-nucleotide ribosomal RNA is filed under the name uncultured bacterium. Its description in RNAcentral is "partial 16S ribosomal RNA". It matches the Rfam family "Bacterial small subunit ribosomal RNA", at positions 354 to 504 of the family's 1533-position model. The record is from RNAcentral.